Molecule: ribosomal RNA, 254 nt
Filed under: uncultured bacterium
Lineage: Bacteria
Description: partial 16S ribosomal RNA
Rfam family: Bacterial small subunit ribosomal RNA
Source: RNAcentral
UACGGGGGGAGCAAGCGUUGUUCGGAUUUACUGGGCGUAAAGGGCGCGUAGGCGGCCUCUGCAAGUCGACUGUGAAAUCUCCGGGCUUAACCCGGAAAGGUCAGCCGAUACUGCAGGGCUAGAGUGCAGAAGGGGCAACUGGAAUUCUCGGUGUAGCGGUGAAAUGCGUAGAUAUCGAGAGGAACACCUGCGGCGAAGGCGGGUUGCUGGGCUGACACUGACGCUGAGGAGCGAAAGCGUGGGGAGCGAACAGG